UACGUAGGGCGCGAGCGUUGUCCGGAUUUAUUGGGCGUAAAGAGCUCGUAGGCGGCUUGUUGCGUCAGCUGUGAAAACCCGCAGCUCAACUGUGGGCUUGCAGCUGAUACGGGCAGGCUUGAGUUCGGUAGGGGAGACUGGAAUUCCUGGUGUAGCGGUGAAAUGCGCAGAUAUCAGGAGGAACACCGGUGGCGAAGGCGGAUCUCUGGGCCAUUACUGACGCUGAGGAGCGAAAGCGUGGGGAGCGAACAGG
RNAcentral lists this ribosomal RNA (253 nucleotides) under uncultured bacterium. RNAcentral's name for it is "partial 16S ribosomal RNA". It matches the Rfam family "Bacterial small subunit ribosomal RNA", at positions 524 to 776 of the family's 1533-position model. The record is from RNAcentral.